AUGGCCACCUCCUACUCGAGCAACCAGCGCCCUGCUGCUUUCUCUCCCCUGUUCAAUCCGGAGGAGAGGAGCUCCUCCAGGCCCCACCUAGCGCGAUGGUCGCCGGCCACCCAAGCAUCAGCAGCAGAUGAGCAUCGCGACCCUCCUCUUCCUCCUGUUUUCUCUUUCUCCUCGUCUUCCUCCUCCAUCUCUCAACUCCACUCCUCUGCUUCCUCUGUUUCCAGCAGGACCACGAGAUGUGCACCGACCCUGCCGUCGCCUGCCUCCGCCGCCCUGGCCCGUUCCCGGCCGGUUUCCGCCGGCGACGCCCCGCACCAGGACCCGCUCGUCUCUGCCGCCGCACAGCUCUGA
This 351-nucleotide ribosomal RNA is filed under the name Triticum aestivum (bread wheat). Its description in RNAcentral is "partial small subunit ribosomal RNA". Lineage: Eukaryota; Viridiplantae; Streptophyta; Magnoliopsida; Poales; Poaceae. The record is from RNAcentral.